Molecule: unclassified non-coding RNA, 468 nt
Filed under: Hevea brasiliensis (rubber tree)
Lineage: Eukaryota; Viridiplantae; Streptophyta; Magnoliopsida; Malpighiales; Euphorbiaceae
Source: RNAcentral
GUGACUGGGAAAGCUUGCCCAAAAGGGCUGUACGGAGAAUUUUGCAAGGAAUGUCCAGCUGGCACUUAUAAGAAUGUUACUGGAUCUGAUAGAGCUCUUUGCCAGUCCCUGCCCUCUCAAUGACCUUCCCCAUCGAGCUAUUUAUAUUGCUGUCCGAGGUGGUAUUGCUGAAACACCAUGUCCCUACAAAUGCAUCUCAGACAGAUUUCACAUGCCACAUUGUUAUACAGCGCUUGAAGAGUUGAUUUACACUUUUGGUGGUCCAUGGUUAUUUUGUCUUCUUCUUGUGGGGCUUCUCAUUCUCUUAGCCCUGGUACUUAGUGUUGCGCGGAUGAAAUUUGUUGGUGUUGAGGAAUUACCAGGCCCUGCACCCACUCAACAUGGCUCUCAAUCUGAUCACUCAUUCCCUUUCUUGGAGUCGUUGAAUGAGGUUUUGGAAACAAAUAGAGCUGAGGAGUCUCAGAGCCA